RNAcentral lists this long non-coding RNA (238 nucleotides) under Carica papaya (papaya). RNAcentral's name for it is "long non-coding RNA (CPAP_LNC010791)". Lineage: Eukaryota; Viridiplantae; Streptophyta; Magnoliopsida; Brassicales; Caricaceae. The record is from RNAcentral.
CCCUAUAAGAUAUCUACAGUCACAAUAUUACUUAGCCAAGGGUGACCCCUAACAAAUAUUUGCGUUACUACUCUCGUCAGAUGGUACACUGUCAUCCAUUGGGAGUGGUCCUCUUAUGCCUUUCUAAACCAGAUAGGGAGGUCCUCCUCCCUCAUUUUUUAUGCCAAGAAUCUUUUUCUCCUCUCUCUUCACCAGAUUUUGCCACUUAUCGCCAAUCCAAUGAUUCUAAAAUUCUAUA